Long non-coding RNA from Pongo pygmaeus (Bornean orangutan), 792 nucleotides. RefSeq lists it as uncharacterized. Lineage: Eukaryota; Metazoa; Chordata; Mammalia; Primates; Hominidae. The record is from RefSeq and is a predicted model, not a curated record. The transcript is spliced from 3 exons.
ACAAAGGUAAGGGACAGCUGCCAGAGAAUGAAGCAGAAGGCUGUGGGGUGAAGGGACUGCCAGUCUUCCGCCACUCAUUUUUGUGGUCCUUCCCUUCAUUGCCUUCCUUCUCCCAGACAGACUGGGCAUCCAGUUCCAAUCCAAAGGCUGCCCCUUUGACCAGGCCCAUUUUCUCCACCUCACAUCAGACAGCCAAUCGGCUGCUCAGACCUCGAAACCUCAGUAACCUAGAAGAUGUCUAGAAGUCAAUUGGGGUCAAGGAACAAGCCUCUACUCACAUGCAUGUGGGCAAAUGAAGUCACAGAACGAAUAACCUACCCUGCAUCCAGGCACUGAGUCCAGGGACACCCCCUGCUGCUGCCUCACCUAAGAGAAAGUGGCCCAAGAAGCGCUGGCCUGGUGCCUGCUGAUGCCAGGAGCCCUCUGCUACUGCCUGACACAAGCAUCCUGUGCUUCCCCCUCCCAGGCCCUCCCCGAAAGCGUGGGCCACAGGUACCACUCCCUAUGCCACUGAGCCCCACAUUUCCCAUCCCCCAAGCCACCCCCGCCAGCCCCAGAGCUUUCCUACAUUUAUGAUUUGUCCAAAAAGGUGAUGUCCUUCAGCCCCCAGAAGGUCAUCCUCCAGGCUGUGACCGUCACACAGGGGGUCCUGCACGGGGUCCUCACAGGCCUUCAGCCCAGCACAAAUUGUGGCCUGGUUUGACCUUUGAAAUAUCUCAACAUCUAAAAUUCAGAGCUUUUUUGGAAUAUUUAUUUUCCAUAGAUAUAAUUCUUUCAAAUAAAUUCCUUAGA